UACGGAGGGUGCAAGCGUUGUUCGGAAUUACUGGGCGUAAAGCGCGUGUAGGCGGCUUGGCAAGUCGGGUGUGAAAUCCCGGGGCUCAACCCCGGAACUGCAUUCGAAACUGCCUGGCUGGAGUCCCGGAGAGGGUGGUGGAAUUCCCAGUGUAGAGGUGAAAUUCGUAGAUAUUGGGAGGAACACCAGUGGCGAAGGCGGCCACCUGGACGGUGACUGACGCUGAGACGCGAAAGUGUGGGGAGCAAACAGG
This 253-nucleotide ribosomal RNA is filed under the name uncultured bacterium. Its description in RNAcentral is "partial 16S ribosomal RNA". It matches the Rfam family "Bacterial small subunit ribosomal RNA", at positions 524 to 776 of the family's 1533-position model. The record is from RNAcentral.